RNAcentral lists this ribosomal RNA (371 nucleotides) under uncultured bacterium. RNAcentral's name for it is "bacterial SSU rRNA". It matches the Rfam family "Bacterial small subunit ribosomal RNA", at positions 29 to 389 of the family's 1533-position model. The record is from RNAcentral.
AGUGAACGCUGGCGGCGUGCUUAACACAUGCAAGUCGAGCGAAGUGGCAGCUGUAGCAAUACAGUAUGUACUUAGCGGCAGACGGGUNAGUAACACGUAGAUAACUUUCCUCUAAGCGGGGAUAGCUUGCCGAAAGGCGAGGUAAUACCGCGUAUUAUCAAGAUGGGGCAUCCCGUUUUGAUGAAACGUCCGCAAGGACGGCUAAGAGAGAGAUCNGCGGCCUAUCAGCUAGUUGGUGGGGUAACGGCCCACCAAGGCUAUGACGGGUAUCCGACCUGAAAGGGUGACCGGACACACUGACACUGAGACACGGUCAGACUCCUACGGGAGGCAGCAGUGAGGAAUUUUGGACAAUGGGGAAACCCUGAUCC